GGUAGCGUGGCCGAGUGGUCGAAGGCGCUGAUUUUAAGAAUCAGGAAAGUGGCAUGGGUUCGAUUCCCAUCGCUACCA
This is a non-coding RNA of Xenia sp. Carnegie-2017, 78 nucleotides long. The record is from the annotation of a RefSeq genome assembly. NCBI's taxonomy places the organism in Eukaryota, Metazoa, Cnidaria, Anthozoa, Malacalcyonacea, Xeniidae.